UGGUGCGCAGGAGGCUUGCAGCCUCAGUCUGAUUCUGUCUCUGACCCUUUGCAAACCUCAGUCCCCUUUGAUUGUCAGCCAGCACUCCUCUGGUCUGUUUAGGCCUUUCUUUUGUUUUUUUUUGGCUGCCCAUGACUGACCCAAGCCCCUACACACCUUGGCAUACUAGAAAUUCAGACUCGAAACAGAUGGCACAAGGGACAGAGUGGCAGGCAACAUCAAGCAUCUCCCAAAUUGACGAGACCUCCUGAGUCCUGCACAGAUGCGCCCUCCACCUCGCUCGCCUCAUUUCACCUUGCCCGGCAACCUUCACCGUCCCACCUUUCAGCCUAUAGCGGGGAGCCUGUGCCUAUCCUGCACCGUGUGCUGAGGUGGAGACAAGGAGAUGGAUGACUGAGCUUGCGGCUACACACAUAGAACGUGUCCUUUUCAGAUGUGUGAAGGUGAUGCUAUAAUGAUGAGGCACACACAGAUGCAGGACACUGUGUGCACGCCGAUGUAUGAUUUCAGUCUUUCUUUGGCUUUUGCAAAGGUGAUAUACAAUAAAAAUUUCUGAAAUCAACAACGUAAA
Acanthopagrus latus (yellowfin seabream) is the source of this 571-nucleotide long non-coding RNA. RefSeq lists it as uncharacterized. The record is from RefSeq and is a predicted model, not a curated record. The transcript is spliced from 3 exons. Lineage: Eukaryota; Metazoa; Chordata; Actinopteri; Spariformes; Sparidae.